RNAcentral lists this ribosomal RNA (18 nucleotides) under Colletotrichum truncatum. Its description in RNAcentral is "partial 18S ribosomal RNA". The record is from RNAcentral. Lineage: Eukaryota; Fungi; Ascomycota; Sordariomycetes; Glomerellales; Glomerellaceae.
AGCGCAGGACAUUACUGA